UCUCAGUUCGGAUUGUAGUCUGCAACUCGACUACAUGAAGCUGGAAUCGCUAGUAAUCGCAGAUCAGAAUGCUGCGGUGAAUACGUUCCCGGGUCUUGUACACACCGCCCGUCACACCAUGGGAGUCGGAAAUGCCCGAAGCCGGUGACCCAACCAAAAGGAGGGAGCCGUCGAAGGCAGGUCUGAUAACUGGGGUGAAGUCGUAACAAGGUAAC
RNAcentral lists this ribosomal RNA (215 nucleotides) under uncultured bacterium. RNAcentral's name for it is "partial 16S ribosomal RNA". It matches the Rfam family "Bacterial small subunit ribosomal RNA", at positions 1286 to 1500 of the family's 1533-position model. The record is from RNAcentral.